ACGGGAAUAGUUCAAUGGUAGAAUAGAGGUCUCCAAAACCUUUGAUCAGGGUUCGAAUCCUUGUUCCCGUGCUA
RNAcentral lists this transfer RNA (74 nucleotides) under Pseudopedobacter saltans. RNAcentral's name for it is "tRNA-Trp". It matches the Rfam family "tRNA". Rfam says of the family: Transfer RNA (tRNA) molecules are approximately 80 nucleotides in length. Lineage: Bacteria; Pseudomonadati; Bacteroidota; Sphingobacteriia; Sphingobacteriales; Sphingobacteriaceae. RNAcentral also lists the same sequence under 3 other names. The record is from RNAcentral.